This 519-nucleotide ribosomal RNA is filed under the name uncultured bacterium. Its description in RNAcentral is "bacterial SSU rRNA". It matches the Rfam family "Bacterial small subunit ribosomal RNA", at positions 8 to 518 of the family's 1533-position model. The record is from RNAcentral.
AGGGUUCGAUUCUGGCUCAGGAUGAACGCUAGCUACAGGCUUAACACAUGCAAGUCGAGGGGCAGCAUUGGAGUAGCAAUACUCAGAUGGCGACCGGCGCACGGGUGAGUAACACGUAUCCAACCUGCCGCUUACUCGGGGAUAGCCUUUCGAAAGAAAGAUUAAUACCCGAUGGUAUAAAGAGUUCGCAUGUUCUCUUUAUUAAAGAAUUUCGGUAAGCGAUGGGGAUGCGUUCCAUUAGAUAGUUGGCGGGGUAACGGCCCACCAAGUCUACGAUGGAUAGGGGUUCUGAGAGGAAGGUCCCCCACAUUGGAACUGAGACACGGUCCAAACUCCUACGGGAGGCAGCAGUGAGGAAUAUUGGUCAAUGGACGAGAGUCUGAACCAACCAAAAGUAGCGUGAAGGAUGACUGCCCUAUGGGUUGUAAACUUCUUUUAUAAGGGAAUAAAGUGAGGGACGUGUCCCUUUUUGUAUGUACCUUAUGAAUAAGGAUCGGCUAACUCCGUGCCAGCCGCCGC